This 580-nucleotide long non-coding RNA is filed under the name Zonotrichia albicollis (white-throated sparrow). Its description in RNAcentral is "lncRNA (ENSZALG00000006582.1)". Lineage: Eukaryota; Metazoa; Chordata; Aves; Passeriformes; Passerellidae. The record is from RNAcentral.
CAAGCCUAGAGCAGAAUGAGGAGGAAGGGAGAGAUUUGCAGACUCUGAUGCAUUCAUAGCUUCUAUUUUUUUUUAUGGCCCUUGUCAUAACUGAGCAAGAAUGGUGUAGGUUGCUAAUAUAUUUACAGCCUGCCUGUGCAAGUGAAGGUGUGGGAUGACAACAGGAAACAAGUAGUGAAUUUGGAGUGGGAGCCUGUGUGAAGUCCAAACUAACACCUGAACCUAAAGCCGUCUUUCUUUGCAGGCUCUGCACUGGCAUGUGGAGGACCAGUGCCUGGCUAGUGCUGCCAAAGAUGAAGCUAUUCAGAAGAACAAGCAGCGUGUGAGAGCGGUGCCCAGCUCCUCAAAAGCUCUACCCCACACCCAGCAGAGAAAAAGGAGGCGUUUGUGGCUGGUGGUGUCCCCAGGACUGGAGCUGUCAUUGCAUAGCUGUCCAGUCUCCACCUGAGGAAGCAGGUGGAGUUAAAGAGGAGACCCACAAACUGGCUCUGUUCUCUGGGUAAGGCCAUGGCAGCUGUGUUGGGCUCAUGCCUACCAGACACUUGCUAAAGCUGCCUCCUCUUGACCUUCUGAUCUGUAU